CCUACGGGUGGCUGCAGUGGGGGAUAUUGCACAAUGGGGGGAACCCUGAUGCAGCGACGCCGCGUGGGUGAAGAAGCGCCUCGGCGCGUAAAGCCCUGUCAGCAGGGAAGAAAAUGACGGUACCUGAAGAAGAAGCCCCGGCUAACUACGUGCCAGCAGCCGCGGUAAUACGUAGGGGGCAAGCGUUAUCCGGAUUUACUGGGUGUAAAGGGGGCGCAGACGGCGAUGCAAGCCAGGAGUGAAAGCCCGGGGCCCAACCCCGGGACUGCUCUUGGAACUGCGUGGCGGGAGUGCAGGAGGGGCAGGCGGAAUUCCUGGUGUAGCGGUGAAAUGCGUAGAUAUAACUUAGAACUCCGAUAGCGAAGGCAGCUUACCAGACUGCGACUGACGAUGAAGCACGAGAGCGUGGGUAGCGAACAGGAUUAGAUACCCUGGUAGUC
RNAcentral lists this ribosomal RNA (440 nucleotides) under uncultured bacterium. RNAcentral describes it as "partial 16S ribosomal RNA". It matches the Rfam family "Bacterial small subunit ribosomal RNA", at positions 338 to 795 of the family's 1533-position model. The record is from RNAcentral.